AGCAGCCGCGGUAAUUCCAGCUCCAAUAGCGUAUAUUAAAGUUGUUGCAGUUAAAAGCCCGUAGUUGAAUUUCGGGGUUAGCAGGUCGGUCGUGCCAUCGGUAUGAACUGGUCUCGCUGAUCCCUCCCUCUUGACGAACUGUGAUGCCAUUAAUUUGGUGUCGCAGGGAAUCAGGACUGUUACUUUGAAAAAUUAGAGUGUUUAAAGCAGGCUCACGCUUGAAUACAUUAGCAUGGAAUAAUGAAAUAGGACGUUUGAUCCUAUUUUGUUGGCUUCUAGGAUUGACGUAAUGAUUAAUAGGGAUAGUUGGGGGCAUUAGUAUUCAAUUGUCAGAGGUGAAAUUCUUGGAUUUAUUGAAGACUAACUACUGCGAAAGCAUUUGCCAAGGAUGUUUUCAUUAAUCAAGAACGAAAGUUAGGGGAUCGAAGACGAUCAGAUACCGUCGUAGUCUUAACCAUAAACUAUGCCGACUAGGGAUCGGAUGAUGUUAAUUUUUAAUGACUCAUUCC
RNAcentral lists this unclassified non-coding RNA (509 nucleotides) under uncultured Glomus. Its description in RNAcentral is "SSU rRNA". It matches the Rfam family "Eukaryotic small subunit ribosomal RNA", at positions 569 to 1082 of the family's 1831-position model. The record is from RNAcentral. Lineage: Eukaryota; Fungi; Glomeromycota; Glomeromycetes; Glomerales; Glomeraceae.